RNAcentral lists this ribosomal RNA (165 nucleotides) under uncultured bacterium. RNAcentral's name for it is "partial 16S rRNA". It matches the Rfam family "Bacterial small subunit ribosomal RNA", at positions 355 to 511 of the family's 1533-position model. The record is from RNAcentral.
UAGGGAAUCUUCGGCAAUGGACGAAAGUCUGACCGAGCGACGCCGCGUGAGUGAAGAAGGUUUUCGGAUCGUAAAACUCUGUUGGUAGAGAAGAACGUUGGUGAGAGUGGAAAGCUCAUCAAGUGACGGUAACUACCCAGAAAGGGACGGCUAACUACGUGCCAA